AGUGAACGCUGGCGGUAGGCCUAACACAUGCAAGUCGAACGGCAGCACAGUAAGAGCUUGCUCUUACGGGUGGCGAGUGGCGGACGGGUGAGGCAUACAUCGGAAUCUACUUUUUCGUGGGUGAUAACGUAGGGAAACUUACGCUAAUACCUCAUACGACCUACGGGUGAAAGCAGGGGAUCUUCGGACCUUGCGCGAUUGAAUGAGCCGAUGUCGGAUUAGCUAGUUGGCGGGGUAAAGGCCCACCAAGGCGACGAUCCGUAGCUGGUCUGAGAGGAUGAUCAGCCACACUGGAACUGAGACACGGUCCAGACUCCUACGGGAGGCAGCAGUAGGGAAUAUUGGACAAUGGGCGCAAGCCUGAUCCAGCCAUACCGCGUGGGUGAAGAAGGCCUUCGGGUUGUAAAGCCCUUUUGUUGGGAAAGAAAAGCAGCAGGUUAAUACCCCGCUGUUCUGACGGUACCCAAAGAAUAAGCAACGGCUAACUUCGUG
RNAcentral lists this ribosomal RNA (492 nucleotides) under uncultured bacterium. RNAcentral's name for it is "partial 16S ribosomal RNA". It matches the Rfam family "Bacterial small subunit ribosomal RNA", at positions 29 to 507 of the family's 1533-position model. The record is from RNAcentral.